Non-coding RNA from Harpegnathos saltator (Jerdon's jumping ant), 47 nucleotides. NCBI's taxonomy places the organism in Eukaryota, Metazoa, Arthropoda, Insecta, Hymenoptera, Formicidae. The record is from Rfam.
AAACCAGUUUUUUUCAAAACUACUCUUUUUUCUCGGUAAAAAAAAAU